GUGAGGGUGACGGCCUUCGGGUUGUAAACCUCUUUCAGCACGGAAGAAGCGAAAGUGACGGUACGUGCAGAAGAAGCGCCGGCUAACUACGUGCCAGCAGCCGCGGUAAUACGUAGGGCGCAAGCGUUGUCCGGAAUUAUUGGGCGUAAAGAGCUCGUAGGCGGUUUGUCGCGUCUGCUGUGAAAGCCCGGGGCUUAACCCCGGGUGUGCAGUGGGUACGGGCAGACUUGAGUGCAGUAGGGGAGACUGGAAUUCCUGGUGUAGCGGUGAAAUGCGCAGAUAUCAGGAGGAACACCGAUGGCGAAGGCAGGUCUCUGGGCUGUUACUGACGCUGAGGAGCGAAAGCAUGGGGAGCGAACAGGAUUAGAUACCCUGGUAGUCCAUGCCGUAAACGUUGGGCACUAGGUGUGGGGAACAUUCCACGUUUUCCGCGCCGUAGCUAACGCAUUAAGUGCCCCGCCUGGGGAGUACGGCCGCAAGGCUAAAACUCAAAGGAAUUGACGGGGGCCCGCACAAGCGGCGGAGCAUGCGGAUUAAUUCGAUGCAACGCGAAGAACCUUACCAAGGCUUGACAUACACCGGACCGGGCCAGAGAUGGUCUUUCCCCCUUGUGGGGCUGGUGUACAGGUGGUGCAUGGUUGUCGUCAGCUCGUGUCGUGAGAUGUUGGGUUAAGUCCCGCAACGAGCGCAACCCUCGUUCUAUGUUGCC
Molecule: ribosomal RNA, 709 nt
Filed under: Kocuria rhizophila
Lineage: Bacteria; Bacillati; Actinomycetota; Actinomycetes; Micrococcales; Micrococcaceae
Also listed under: 1 other name
Description: bacterial SSU rRNA
Rfam family: Bacterial small subunit ribosomal RNA
Source: RNAcentral